UCUCAAACUUAAAAAGUUUUAAACAUUUCUCAAAUGUUUGAGUGCAUCCUUAAUAUUGGAAAAAAAAAGUACAAUGGUAAUUAAUAGUAACAGUGGCAGUGGUGGAAGAGAGAGAAAAAAAGUGAGAAAUUAUUAAAAUGGUGAGAGAGAAACAGAAGAGAAAGAAAAAAGUGUCAGAAAAACAGAGGAAAGAGAAGAAAAGUGCAUGCCACAUCAUCUCAAGUUAACGUCGUUUCUAUCAACUUAACGGAAGGGACCUAAUAACACCAAAAUUAAUAACUUAGGGACCAAAUUACAUCAUAUUUAAAAGAGGGUACAAAACAGAAAUUCAGUCCCCAACUUGGGGACUAAAA
RNAcentral lists this long non-coding RNA (353 nucleotides) under Vigna radiata. Its description in RNAcentral is "long non-coding RNA (VRAD_LNC015113)". Lineage: Eukaryota; Viridiplantae; Streptophyta; Magnoliopsida; Fabales; Fabaceae. The record is from RNAcentral.